Molecule: ribosomal RNA, 887 nt
Filed under: Macrobiotus hufelandi
Lineage: Eukaryota; Metazoa; Tardigrada; Eutardigrada; Parachela; Macrobiotidae
Description: SSU rRNA
Rfam family: Eukaryotic small subunit ribosomal RNA
Source: RNAcentral
CAUGUCUCAGUACUUGCUUUUACAAGGCGAAACCGCGAAUGGCUCAUUAAAUCAGUUAUGGUUCAAUUGAUCGUAAAUUAUACACGGAUAACUGUGGUAAUUCUAGAGCUAAUACGUGCAAAUAGCUCGGUCCCUUGUGGAACGGGCGCAGUUAUUAGAUCAAAACUAAUCCGGCCUUCGGGUCGGUAAAAUUGGUGACUCUGAAUAACCGAAGCGGAGCGCGUGGUCUCGUACCGGCGCCAGAUCUUUCAAGUGUCUGACUUAUCAGCUUGUUGUUAGGUUACGUUCCUAACAAGGCUUCAACGGGUAACGGGGUAUCAGGGUCCGAUACCGGAGAGGGAGCCUGAGAAACGGCUACCACAUCCAAGGAAGGCAGCAGGCGCGCAAAUUACCCACUCCUAGCACAGGGAGGUAGUGACGAAAAAUAACGAUGCGAGGGCUAUUAGCUUCUCGUAAUCGGAAUGGGUACACUUUAAAUCCUUUAACGAGGAUCUAUUGGAGGGCAAGUCUGGUGCCAGCAGCCGCGGUAAUUCCAGCUCCAAUAGCGUAUAUUAAAGUUGCUGCGGUUAAAAAGCUCGUAGUUGGAUCUGGGCUUCUGAACGGACGGUGCACUUUUCGGUGCAACUGCUUGUUUGGUGCCACAAGCCGGCCAUGUCUUGCAUGCUCUUCACUGCGUGUGCUUGGCGACCGGAACGUUUACUUUGAAAAAAUUAGAGUGCUCAAAGCAGGCGUAUGGCCUUGCAUAAUGGUGCAUGGAAUAAUGGAAUAGGACCUCGGUUCUAUUUUGUUGGUUUUCGGAACUCGAGGUAAUGAUUAAGAGGAACGGACGGGGACAUUCGUAUUGCGGCGUUAGAGGUGAAAUUCUUGGAUCGUCGCAAGACGAACUA